GUUUCUAUUACUAGAUUAUUUCAGACAAAAAAUUAAUUGGUUUAUAAAGCUGGGCCACGGUCGUCAAAGAUGACUUCCAUGACCCAAAAGACAUUAUGGUGCACAAGUGGUGUAUCGCUUUGAUAGGGAGUCCCGAAGGACUCAACCUACCUCGGCAGAAAUCAGUAAUGAUCCAACCGCAGGUUCACCUACGGUUA
RNAcentral lists this unclassified non-coding RNA (197 nucleotides) under uncultured fungus. Its description in RNAcentral is "sequence contains ITS1". Lineage: Eukaryota; Fungi. The record is from RNAcentral.